Molecule: unclassified non-coding RNA, 243 nt
Filed under: Hevea brasiliensis (rubber tree)
Lineage: Eukaryota; Viridiplantae; Streptophyta; Magnoliopsida; Malpighiales; Euphorbiaceae
Source: RNAcentral
ACCACAAAACAACUUUACCAGGCACAGAAGCAAACUGGAAAAACAAAACCUCAGGUUUCCAGAAUGUCCUAAAAGAACUAAUCUUUGCAGCAUUCGCUCACAGGAAAGAAGUUGAAGACAACAAAAGCAGAGAAUUUUUACAGUAUGAUGAUAUAAGACAAUCGCAUAGAAGACACUGCACAUGCAAAGAUUUUGUAACAGUUGCUAGGUGUGCAAAGCCAUGAAUAAGUUCUGCUUACGAGC